UACUUGGGAACUACUUUUCAGUGAUAGCUGUAUUGACUAAGGGAACUACGGCGGGCUUAUGCCUACUGAACUAUAUUCGAAACUAUCAGAGUGUAUAGCAGAUUAGAGCAGAUUACAGCAGCCUUAAAGAUUGUUGGCCAUUAACGGUUAUCCAUGGCACUAAAACUACUUGAUAUCAAUACAUUCACCUCACAACACUUGUUGGCAAAAACAUGUGCUAUAGC
This is a long non-coding RNA of Triticum dicoccoides, 224 nucleotides long. RefSeq lists it as uncharacterized. The transcript has 3 exons. Lineage: Eukaryota; Viridiplantae; Streptophyta; Magnoliopsida; Poales; Poaceae. The record is from RefSeq and is a predicted model, not a curated record.